GCACUUUGAUGUCUUAAAUUAGGUAUGUUCUUUGCUCGAUUUUUGAUAAUUUUUAUGUUUUUGAAAUCGUUGCUUCGUAUACUAGCUAGCCCAUGCUUUAAUUUUCGGAUUUGAUUAUGAAUUUGUGAUUUGCCAUUGUUGAUAGCUUGAUGUUUUUGUUGUUUGAUGAUGAAAAAUAAAUAUUUGUUAUUAGAUUAUUAUAGUUUAUUAAGUGAUUUUUGAUAAAAAUGCUUAUUAAGGACUAAAUUGUGAAAUUUAUAAAUUGAGGGAUCAAAAUGUGAAAUAAAUGAAAUUAAUGGGCUGCUAGAGACUUAAGGAAAAUUUGGCCUAACAUGAGCAUGUUGAAAUUUUGUGUAUUUUGAGUUGUUUUGAAAUAGGGACUAAAAUUUAGAAAAUGUGAAAUGUUAGGGGCUAAAGUGAAAAAUACCCAUUUAUGUGUUUUUGGGUGAAAUUGAAUGAAUAUGUAAUUAAAUAAGUUAAAUUUAAAUUGAUUUAGAUCAAGAAAGGAAGAAAUUAGAUUUGGAUCGGGGGAAGUCGAAAGUUAUUGAAUAGUCGUUCCGAUCCGUUCGUUUCCGUACGAGGUAAGUUCAUAAGUAAUUAAAUGUUUUUAAAUUCAAAUGUAUAUAUAUUAUAUGUAUCCGAAUUUAAUUGUAUGUAUUAAAAUAUAUAUUUCCGAAUUGAUUUGAGCAUUGGUUGGCUAGUUUUGUGCAUGAAUUGAUUUAAUUACGAAGUCGUAAGCCCCGAACGAAUCUUAGGAAAUGUAUUGAAUACUGAUGUCAUGACAUAAGGCUUUCGAGAUGUGAUUUCGUGUAAGACCAUGUCUGAGAAAUUGGCAUCGAAGUGAGAAAACGUGUAAGACCAUGUCUGGGACAUUGGCAUCGUAUAUGAUUCAUAUAAGACCCUGUCUGGGACAGUGGCAUUGAUAUGCGUUAACAUGUAAGACCAUAUUCGGGAUAUGACAUUGUAUGAGCUUUAUAUGAUUUCCGUGUAUCCCUAACAAUUCCGAACGGUUCAUCGGGCAAUGUCAAAUCGUGACCGAAGGUGAAUUUGAUCUAAAUAAUUCAGGUACGUAUGAGGAUUAUAUGUUCAUUGAAAAAUAAGGUAAGUAGAGUUAAUUGAUGUGGUAAUAUGGAUUAUAUGAGAAAAGUGAUUGUAUAUGUGUAUAAGAUUAACUAAAUUUGGCCUAUUCGAAUUGUGUUAUAUGUGUUCUUGUGAUGAAUUAUUUGCUUAUGGCUUACUAAGCUUUCAAAGCUUAUUUUGUGCAUUCUUUCUCUAUUUUAUAGAUAUAUAAAGCUAGCUUUGAGCUCGAGAAUCAUCAAGGAUCAUCAUCACACUAUUGACCAUUAUUCGGUACUUUUGAAGUUUGUAACUAAGACAUAUGGCAUGUAUAGGCUAGUUUUGUUAUGGUUAGUUUUGAAUUGUUUAUAAAUAGCCAUGCGAGGAUGGCUUGAUAAUGAUGUUCAAUAUGAUGUAUUUUUGGUCAUGAUAUAAGCUCAUUUUGG
RNAcentral lists this long non-coding RNA (1502 nucleotides) under Gossypium barbadense (sea-island cotton). Its description in RNAcentral is "long non-coding RNA (GBAR_LNC007643)". The record is from RNAcentral. Lineage: Eukaryota; Viridiplantae; Streptophyta; Magnoliopsida; Malvales; Malvaceae.